RNAcentral lists this ribosomal RNA (2904 nucleotides) under Providencia rettgeri. RNAcentral describes it as "bacterial LSU rRNA". It matches the Rfam family "Bacterial large subunit ribosomal RNA". Lineage: Bacteria; Pseudomonadati; Pseudomonadota; Gammaproteobacteria; Enterobacterales; Morganellaceae. The record is from RNAcentral.
UUAAGCGACUAAGCGUACACGGUGGAUGCCUAGGCAAUCAGAGGCGAUGAAGGACGUGCUAAUCUGCGAUAAGCGUCGGUAAGGUGAUAUGAACCGUGAUAACCGACGAUUUCCGAAUGGGGAAACCCAGUGCAAUCCGUUGCACUAUCGUUUGAUGAAUACAUAGUCAAACGAAGCGAACCGGGGGAACUGAAACAUCUCAGUACCCCGAGGAAAAGAAAUCAACCGAGAUUCCCCUAGUAGCGGCGAGCGAACGGGGAGCAGCCCAGAGUCUUAAUCAACAUUAGCAUCAGGAGAACGGUCUGGAAAGGCCGGCAGUAAAGGGUGAUAGCCCCGUAUCCGAAGGUGUUAGUGUUGUGAACUCGACGAGUAGGGCGGGACACGUGUUAUCCUGUCUGAAUAUGGGGGACCAUCCUCCAAGGCUAAAUACUCCUGAUUGACCGAUAGUGAACCAGUACCGUGAGGGAAAGGCGAAAAGAACCCCGGCGAGGGGAGUGAAAUAGAACCUGAAACCGUGUACGUACAAGCAGUGGGAGCACCUUUAGGGGUGUGACUGCGUACCUUUUGUAUAAUGGGUCAGCGACUUAUAUUCUGUAGCAAGGUUAACCGUAUAGGGGAGCCGUAGGGAAACCGAGUCUUAACUGGGCGAAUGAGUUGCAGGGUAUAGACCCGAAACCCGGUGAUCUAGCCAUGGGCAGGUUGAAGGUUGGGUAACACUAACUGGAGGACCGAACCGACUAAUGUUGAAAAAUUAGCGGAUGACUUGUGGCUGGGGGUGAAAGGCCAAUCAAACCGGGAGAUAGCUGGUUCUCCCCGAAAGCUAUUUAGGUAGCGCCUCGUGAACUCAUCUUCGGGGGUAGAGCACUGUUUCGACUAGGGGGUCAUCCCGACUUACCAACUCGAUGCAAACUACGAAUACCGAAGAAUGUUAUCACGGGAGACACACGGCGGGUGCUAACGUUCGUCGUGAAGAGGGAAACAACCCAGACCGCCAGCUAAGGUCCCAAAGUCAUAGUUAAGUGGGAAACGAAGUGGGAAGGCUCAGACAGCCAGGAUGUUGGCUUAGAAGCAGCCAUCAUUUAAAGAAAGCGUAAUAGCUCACUGGUCGAGUCGGCCUGCGCGGAAGAUGUAACGGGGCUAAACUAUGCACCGAAGCUGCGGCAGCGAUAUGUAAAUAUUGUUGGGUAGGGGAGCGUUCUGUAAGCCUGUGAAGGUGUACUGUGAGGUAUGCUGGAGGUAUCAGAAGUGCGAAUGCUGACAUAAGUAACGAUAAUGCGGGUGAAAAACCCGCACGCCGGAAGACCAAGGGUUCCUGUCCAACGUUAAUCGGGGCAGGGUGAGUCGACCCCUAAGGCGAGGCAGAAAUGCGUAGUCGAUGGGAAACGGGUUAAUAUUCCCGUACUGGUGAUAAUUGCGAUGGGGGGACGGAGAAGGCUAGGCUAUCCGGGCGACGGUUGUCCCGGUUUAAGGAUGUAGGCAGGUGAAUUAGGCAAAUCCGGUUCACUACAUGCUGAGGUCCGAUGACGAGUCACUACGGUGAUGAAGUAGCUCAUGCCCCGCUUCCAGGAAAAGCCUCUAAGCUCUAGAUUAUCAUUAAUCGUACCCCAAACCGACACAGGUGGUCAGGUAGAGAAUACUCAGGCGCUUGAGAGAACUCGGGUGAAGGAACUAGGCAAAAUGGUGCCGUAACUUCGGGAGAAGGCACGCUGGCGCUAGGUGAAGUCCCUCGCGGAUGGAGCUGAAGCCAGUCGCAGAUACCAGCUGGCUGCAACUGUUUAUUAAAAACACAGCACUGUGCAAACACGAAAGUGGACGUAUACGGUGUGACGCCUGCCCGGUGCUGGAAGGUUAAUUGAUGGGGUUAUCCGUAAGGAGAAGCUCUUGAUCGAAGCCCCAGUAAACGGCGGCCGUAACUAUAACGGUCCUAAGGUAGCGAAAUUCCUUGUCGGGUAAGUUCCGACCUGCACGAAUGGCGUAAUGAUGGCCAGGCUGUCUCCACCCGAGACUCAGUGAAAUUGAACUCGCUGUGAAGAUGCAGUGUACCCGCGGCAAGACGGAAAGACCCCGUGAACCUUUACUAUAGCUUGACACUGAACAUUGAGCCUUGAUGUGUAGGAUAGGUGGGAGGCUUUGAAGCGUGGACGCCAGUCUGCGUGGAGCCAACCUUGAAAUACCACCCUUUAAUGUUUGAUGUUCUAACGUAGCCCCGUUAUCCGGGGUGCGGACAGUGUCUGGUGGGUAGUUUGACUGGGGCGGUCUCCUCCCAAAGAGUAACGGAGGAGCACGAAGGUUGGCUAAGCAUGGUCGGACAUCAUGCGGUUAGUGCAAAGGCAUAAGCCAGCUUGACUGCGAGAGUGACGGCUCGAGCAGGUACGAAAGUAGGUCUUAGUGAUCCGGUGGUUCUGAAUGGAAGGGCCAUCGCUCAACGGAUAAAAGGUACUCCGGGGAUAACAGGCUGAUACCGCCCAAGAGUUCAUAUCGACGGCGGUGUUUGGCACCUCGAUGUCGGCUCAUCACAUCCUGGGGCUGAAGUAGGUCCCAAGGGUACGGCUGUUCGCCGUUUAAAGUGGUACGCGAGCUGGGUUUAGAACGUCGUGAGACAGUUCGGUCCCUAUCUGCCGUGGGCGUUGGAAGAUUGAAAGGGGCUGCUCCUAGUACGAGAGGACCGGAGUGGACGCACCACUGGUGUUCGGGUUGUCAUGCCAAUGGCAUUGCCCGGUAGCUAAGUGCGGAAGAGAUAACCGCUGAAAGCAUCUAAGCGGGAAACUUGCCUUGAGAUGAGUCUUCCCUGACUCUUUAAGGGUCCUAAAGGAACGUUUAAGACUAAGACGUUGAUAGGUUGGGUGUGUAAGCGUAGCGAUAUGUUGAGCUAACCAAUACUAAUGAACCGUGAGGCUUAACCUG